GCAUCAUAAACCGUAUCACUUGCGUUUCCGUUUUGCAAUUGUGUCGUCGAAAGUAAUCUCUUUCUCUCUGUUUACGUUUUUGCCAUGAUAAAUAUUCCAUAAAUUUUGAAGUAUGUUUGAUUUUGUCUUGUGGUCCCUUUUUUGUUAUUUUCUUGUGUGUAUUAGUUGUAUGAGUGUGAAUUUUGUUUAUUUCCUUUGUGUUCAAUAGUUGUAUGAGUUGAGUUUGAUGGUUGGCUAUUUGUGAUUUAUUAAGUGAUAUCAAUUUAUUAUGAACCCAUUAAUGAUCUUGGCAUAUAUGUAUGAAUUAAGAAAAGAUAUAAAUUGAAUUAGAAUAAA
Molecule: long non-coding RNA, 336 nt
Filed under: Lathyrus oleraceus (garden pea)
Lineage: Eukaryota; Viridiplantae; Streptophyta; Magnoliopsida; Fabales; Fabaceae
Description: Pisum sativum (pea) long non-coding RNA (PSAT_LNC018420)
Source: RNAcentral